GCAAGUCGAACGAGAACCCUGGUGCUUGCAUUAGGGGGACAGUGGCGAACGGGUGAGUAACACGUGGAUAAUCUGCCUCUGGGAUGGGGACAACAUCGCGAAAGCGGUGCUAAUACCGAAUGAGGUGGUUGUAACUUAAGUUAUAGCCAUGAAACAGUGGGGAUCUUUGGACCUACUGCCUGGAGAUGAGUCCGCGGCUGAUUAGCUUGUUGGUGGGGUAACGGCCUACCAAGGCGACGAUCAGUAGCCGGCCUGAGAGGGUGAAC
This 266-nucleotide ribosomal RNA is filed under the name uncultured bacterium. RNAcentral's name for it is "partial 16S ribosomal RNA". It matches the Rfam family "Bacterial small subunit ribosomal RNA", at positions 57 to 305 of the family's 1533-position model. The record is from RNAcentral.